CCCCCCAAGAUUUCUUUCCCAUCAGACCUAAACAUUGAAUUGAGUGCCUAUAACAUGAGGAAAAGGAAAACUGAGACAGACUUGGAUUCUUUUGUGACAUACAAAUUUGUCAAAAAGAAAU
RNAcentral lists this small nucleolar RNA (121 nucleotides) under Echinops telfairi (small Madagascar hedgehog). Its description in RNAcentral is "Small nucleolar RNA SNORA61 (ENSETEG00000025141.1)". The record is from RNAcentral. Lineage: Eukaryota; Metazoa; Chordata; Mammalia; Afrosoricida; Tenrecidae.